AAGACUAUGCUUUCAGGGAUCAUUUCUGUAUUUGUAUUUGUAUUUGUUAUUAGAGAAGUUUCUUUGAACAUGUAGUGUAUCUGAAAAAAUGAGAAUUAGGUGCAGCGGCGUCUCCUGAGUGUGAUGCCGGCUUCUGGGAGUUGCUUCUGUAGCUGCCUUUGGCACUGAUGCUCGUUCUUCUCUUCCUUUGGGAGGGUGAGAGGGAGGGGAUGCUGUCAGAGU
Lutra lutra (Eurasian river otter) is the source of this 222-nucleotide small nucleolar RNA. RefSeq annotates it as small nucleolar RNA U3. Lineage: Eukaryota; Metazoa; Chordata; Mammalia; Carnivora; Mustelidae. The transcript has a single exon. The record is from RefSeq and is a predicted model, not a curated record.